Molecule: ribosomal RNA, 484 nt
Filed under: uncultured bacterium
Lineage: Bacteria
Description: partial 16S ribosomal RNA
Rfam family: Bacterial small subunit ribosomal RNA
Source: RNAcentral
AUUGAACGCUGGCGGCAGGCCUAACACAUGCAAGUCGAGCGGAUGAAGGGAGCUUGCUCCUGUAUUCAGCGGCGGACGGGUGAGUAAUUCCUAGGAAUCUGCCUUGUCUUUGGGGAUAACGUCCGGAAACGGGCGCUAAUACCGCAUCCGUCCUGAUUUAGAAAGUGGUGGAUCUUCGGACCUCACGCUAUCAGAUGAGCCUAGGUCGGAUUAGCUAGUUGGUGGGGUAAAGGCCUACCAAGGCGACGAUCCGUAACUGGUCUGAGAGGAUGAUCAGUCACACUGGAACUGAGACACGGUCCAGACUCCUACGGGAGGCAGCAGUGGGGAAUAUUGGACAAUGGGCGAAAGCCUGAUCCAGCCAUGCCGCGUGUGUGAAGAAGGUCUUCGGAUUGUAAAGCACUUUAAGUUGGGAGGAAGGGAAGUAAGUUAAUACCUUGCUGUUUUGACGGUACCAAAAGAAUAAGCACCGGCUAACCUCGUG